GUAACACUGGCGAAAGUGGAGUGUGGAAAUGUCAGCCCUCGUGGAAACGGGCUGGCCAGUGAGUGGUGCAGCGAACACCUCAGCCCUCUUCCCUAGAGCCCAGCGUCUGAGGAUCUGUAGGAAGCUCUUCAGUAGGACUGGAUUAUUUUGGAUCACUCACUGCACUCUCCAGAAGGUCCUGCUAUGCUGCAUCUGGGCAUCCCAAUAGACCCAAAAUAGUCAUGAAGCUGUGAGAGCUUGGCAGGGAGACAUGGACUCUCAAGCUUCUCUUCCUUCCACCCUCCUUUUAGAAAACUGAACUGAUCCAUAGAUCUCAUUGGCAGUCCAGUUAGUAGAAAUAUUUCAUGAGGUACUGAGUGGGGCUACAGGUGUGGCUCCCAUUCUGUAAAUCUCCUUCCACGACCUACUCCCAAUCAAAAAGGGCUCUCUUUAACUGUUGCCCAAAGUUCAGUAUGAUUUGCUGUGCUAUGGGUUGGUCUGGGAGCUUUUGAUCUGGUCCUGAGAUUGACCCUCUCCCUCAACUCAUAAACCUUGAUUCUGGAGUAAAUCGAGUUUAAUGGAGCAUGAUCUGUCUAUAGUUACAUUUGUGCAACACUACAGACUUAAGCAGAGGUUGCAUGGGUGCAACCAAAGGCAUUUUUUUUGGCCCAAUGCACAUUGAAACUGGCAUUAUUGUAGAUUCCAAGGCCAGAAGGACCCUUGUGAUCAUCUAGUCUGGCCUUCUGUAUAACACUGUCUAUAGAACCGUCCCCAAAUAAUUCUUAUAAAAACAUCCAAUCUUGAUUUAAAAAUUGUCAGUGAUAGAGAAUCCACCACAACCCUUGGUGACUUGUUCCCAUGGUUAAUUAUCCUCACUGUGGUGGUUUUUUUUUUUUUUUUAGUCCUUAUUUCCAGUCUGAAUUUGUCUAACUUCAGCUUCCAGCCAUUGCAUCUUGUUACAAGCUUCUCUGCUAGACUGACGAGACCACCCAUUAAAUAUUUGUUCCCUGUGUAGGUACUUACAGACUAUGAUCAAAUAGCCCUGUAACCUUCUCUUUGUUAAGCUAAAUAGAUAGACUGAAGGAGCUCAAUCACUAUAAGGCAUGUUUUCUUAUCCUUGAAUUAUUCUUAUGGCUCUUGUCUCUCCAAGUUAUCAAUAUUCUUCUUGAAUUGUGGACACCAGAACUGCUUCAACUGCUUGGAGGAUUUACUAAAGUAUUCAGUUGAUCCCAUUCCAUUUUCAGGUUUUAAAAUCUCACAUUUUUCAGCUUGACAUGCCGAUUCACAGGAUGAUAUUUUAGGAUUGAAAAUAUUGGUUAUAGAGGGAAUGACUUCAUGGCUCAUCAAGGGAUCAAUAAUAAUAUAGAGAUUGCCACCUCCAGGUCAUUGGUGGAGAUCCGCUGUCAGAUCAGUAGUGACUAGAUGUUAUCAAACAGCAAUUCACAGACCUUGUUGGAGUGCGGCUUUUAUGUUCAGCACAUUUCCUAGCUAAAUUGGUAUUUGGAUCAUAGUCCCUACCACUGCCCACAAGGGCUGUCGACAGUCUCAAUAGAGGUGAAGCACUUAGCUGGCCUGGAGAAUGAACUGUUAGAAGCCGUCCUUCUAGAACAUCAUGGAAGCAUAUUAUCAUUAACUUAGAAGUACCCAUGCCAGAGCAGUCAAUAUACUGUUCUUCAAAAGCACCAAUGUUUGCUUUUAUAUUAUAACAACAAAAAAGAAAAAGUUGGAAAUUGUAGCAGAAUAAGCUUUGCAGUACUAAGUCUUUAAUCACUCUCCUGAUCCAAAAACUUCCCACAUCUUGCAUUUUGUUUCACAUUGUUUUGAAAAAUGAGACUCCGAAGUAGAAAAUAUAAACUUUAGUUUUUGUUUGUUGUUUGGUUUUGUUUUUUUAAGUACUCAGAUCAGUCAGGCAAGAAAGGUAAUCUCUUUAGUAAAAUGAAUUGUCUUUGAGUGUCUUGAGUGAUUGAAAUCCCUUAAGACCCUGAUGUCAUGGGUCAAAUGUGGCCUCUCCUCACCCCUUUCCCUGUAUUAAGUGGUCCAUAAAAGAUGCAUGUACCAAAUUUUACGUUUCAAACUCAAUGGAAACAAAGAAAUGUAUGGUCAGUAACCUCAUAAAAGAGUCUAUUAUCAGGGCCAACCUAGACCAAAUGGUGUCCCAGGCAAGGAGCCUCUUAGGCGCCCUCUCAUUUGUUAAACUUUGAAUAACUUGGUUUCUAUUGCAUUUGUAGCUCAUUUCACAACUUUGAUGCAUGAUUUGCAUGAAUGAUUUAUCUCUGUCAUAUAAGACAAUAAAUUUGCAUGCUAAGAUCUGUAAAUCUGUAUUUUAUUCAUGCCAUAUAUAAGCA
This is a long non-coding RNA of Gopherus evgoodei (Goodes thornscrub tortoise), 2324 nucleotides long. Lineage: Eukaryota; Metazoa; Chordata; Testudines; Testudinidae. The record is from Ensembl.